ACUUGUGCAAUUGACUUUCAGGAACGCCAGAGGAAAUAUCUGAGCCUCAGUCCUUGGGAUAAAGCCACCCUCAGCAUGGGCCGGCUGAUCCUGUCCAACAAGACAGCUCGUACUAUUGCAUUUUUCUACACUCUGCUGUUGCAUUGCCUGGUCUUCCUGGUACUCUACAAAACUGCUUGGAGUGAGAGUAUGGGAAGGGACUGCACUGCUUACUGUGCUAAGAAGUAUGCUGAUCAUUUGCACAAGUUCCAUGAGAAUGGAGACAAUGGUGACAUGUGGCAGUGAAGGCUGAAUUUGAGGCUUUUCACCACCCCAAGGGGAAUGUUAAUUGGUCACACGUGUUCCACUUUCCUUGUCCCUGCCGUGACCAUUGUGCACAGGGCUGUGCCCAGCAGCUUGACUUGAACCUUUUAAAAAUUACCUUUGUGCUUUGUAAGGUUGAGAAGCGGUGUUCCCUUCCCCCCAUUCCGACACUUGUAGGUUAGAAGCUUCAAUAAUGAAUCGUAAUUUUGCAAAAUGUAAGUACAAGGAAGCAGGUUCCAGCUGGACUCUAGGACUUCCGUGUGUUCCCUUGGGUGAUGGUGUCUGAAGCUUUAAGAAUCAUUAGAGUAAAUACUGUAGUUGGGAAGAAUCCACCCUCCUUUCAUUUAGAUUUGCUUUAUAAAACUGUAGGAGGAAGAGAUCUGUUCCAUUGAAAGCCAACAUCUUCAUAUAGGUUUCGAGGGCUGGGGAAGAGAUUGGAAUCCUGACCAUCACCUCAUAACGUCUGUGAAGUCCAACCCAUGAGCCUGGCUACCCAUGAAAUGGGGAAAACUGACCACUUGUAGUGGACUUUACAGUAAUUUAAACAGCCUCAUAUUAAAGAAAUGCGUUCAUUCUCCAGCAAAUUCUUAAGUGAUCAAAGACUCCAAAUUUUACUAGACGUGGAAAUGGCUGGAUGUAAGACCCUGCAAUAAAUUGGCUUUCCUUUGGUGAGGUCAGUCAUCCAGAGACAGGAAGUUACUGUUGCGGUUGCUGUCCUGCUGUAUUUCUUAUUGAAUUAAGAUCUCGUUCAGCUCUGUAUUUAAUCUCAUGCGCAUUUCUUGUGGCCUUUGAGCUCGCUGUCAAGUAAAAGCAGACAGGUUUUUUGUAGGCAUUGUUGAACUGGAGACUGACUUACCCGUGAAAUGGGACUUGAUAGUUGGGAUUGGAAUUGGCUGAGGGAAGUGGUGCUAAUGAGCCAGGAGCUCAUUGGAAAGGUAGUGGGCACUCCUCGGAAAAUCAAAAUGCUUCUGCUGCACAUUAGUUGCUUUGCUGCAAAGGAUGUAUUAGCACAAUACAAGAUGUCUGAUGGACAAAGCUGCUUGCAUUGCAGCCUAGCUGGUUACUGUCUGACCCUUCUUGGCUGCUCUUCUGCUUGAAUAAGUUAAUUGUUGACAGUGGGUUAUUUUAGAGAUAUAAAAUAUAUGAAAAGCUGAUUUAUAUAGAGCUUGUAAGUUUCCUGCAAGGUUCUGCACACCUUCUGCUUCCAUUGACCACAAUUAUCAUUGAAAGUGCUCGGUACCAUGCCAAAUCAGGCCUUUACUCUAUACAUAAUAGCAUGGUCCAUUCAUGCUCAGUUAAAAUCCCCAUUCUAGGCCAGAAGAAUGUUGCCUCGUGGUUAAUGCUGCCUAGCAGAUAUCCACAUGCAUGUGUUAGUAAGUGUGGGUCUAUAAAUAGAAUAUGUAGUCAAUGAUAAAACUUCCCAUAUGCCAUGAGCACUGAAGAUCUAUUUAUAGUUGCUCAGCCUGUAGAAAACAGUAAAAUAUUAAUUGCAAGGAAGAUAAUAGGCCGGGGCCAAUCAGCACCUGUCUACACAGAGAGCUUCAAGAAGAGUGGGGGCUUGUUUAGAAAAGAGAGAUGUCUGUAGUGGAUGUGAUUGCAUUGUUACAAAUCUCUCAUUGAGGGAGAAGUGGGAUGCGCACCAGUAAGUUACCAGUGUUAAUCCUGUUUUUACGUUGCAGCGAAUAUACUGGGGAUUCAUGCUCAUGCAACUAUAUUGAGAGGGCUACAGCAUCAUAAAAAGAGACAGGGCCUAAAGUACUGGUGUGCUUGUUAAAAUGAACGGGACUCUCGCAACUCCACAUGCUGGUUUUUUUCCUUGUGAAGCAGCAGGGCUGUCUGAACUGCAGCAUUUUGUUUGCUGUCUCCCAGUUUCCUCUCUUCGAAUAACUCAGUGAAAAGUGUUUCUUCUCAGAGAUCGGGAUCAAAACACAGCCCAUUUUCCAUAGAUUUGUAUCCAGCUUAGUCCUGUGCUGCUGCUUCAAAGCAAUGUUUAGCCACAUUUUUAAGAGGAAGGCAACCUUAUCUGGAAGGACUUCGGAUUUCUAGAGAUGAUGCACGCUCUCUCUCAGGGCCUGAGUAGGUGUGGUGCGGAGCCCCUUCCAGAUCUCAUUGAUUUCCGAGGCAGCGUACGGGGCCCAGCACUUAUCCAAGUGGACCUGUAAAGCAGACAAGGGUUUUCUAGGGCCAGAGAAAGUUCGGGGUGCUUUUCAUAUCCAAAAAAGGUAAUGAUCUUUAUUUACAGAAUGAAUAGGUGUUUUGCUGUACUUGCUAAAAAGAGCAAUCUUUGUAGGACUAGGAUAUUUGCUAUGUUAGGCUAGUUUCUUUUAGGUUUCAUGGGGAAAGUCAAACUUACUUUAUUCAGAAGCUAUACUGAGUGGAUUAGAAUUGCAAAACAUGCUUAAAAUUUGGCACAUUUAAUUUUCCGUAAAUGGUUGAAAAUAGAUAUUGUUGAGCUAUGCAAGUCAUGAUCAAAUAAACGUAGAUAUGCAUCAAGACC
Molecule: non-coding RNA, 2800 nt
Organism: Pelodiscus sinensis (Chinese soft-shelled turtle)
Lineage: Eukaryota; Metazoa; Chordata; Testudines; Trionychidae
Source: RefSeq, a predicted model, not a curated record